GACGAACGCUGGCGGCGUGCUUAACACAUGCAAGUCGAACGGAAAGGCCCUGCUUUUGUGGGGUGCUCGAGUGGCGAACGGGUGAGUAACACGUGAGUAACCUGCCCUUGACUUUGGGAUAACUUCAGGAAACUGGGGCUAAUACCGGAUAGGAGCUCCUGCUGCAUGGUUGGGGUUGGAAAGUUUCGGCGGUUGGGGAUGGACUCGCGGCUUAUCAGCUUGUUGGUGGGGUAGUGGCUUACCAAGGCUUUGACGGGUAGCCGGCCUGAGAGGGUGACCGGCCACAUUGGGACUGAGAUACGGCCCAGACUCCUACGGGAGGCAGCAGUGGGGAAUAUUGCACAAUGGGCGGAAGCCUGAUGCAGCAACGCCGCGUGCGGGAUGAAGGCCUUCGGGUUGUAAACCGCUUUCGCCUGUGACGAAGCGUGAGUGACGGUAAUGGGUAAAGAAGCACCGGCUAACUACGUG
RNAcentral lists this ribosomal RNA (468 nucleotides) under uncultured bacterium. RNAcentral describes it as "partial 16S ribosomal RNA". It matches the Rfam family "Bacterial small subunit ribosomal RNA", at positions 28 to 507 of the family's 1533-position model. The record is from RNAcentral.